Molecule: non-coding RNA, 227 nt
Organism: Cinara cedri
Lineage: Eukaryota; Metazoa; Arthropoda; Insecta; Hemiptera; Aphididae
Source: the annotation of a GenBank genome assembly
AAACAAAAAAAUCAUAGCGUGUACAGCCCGCGUCCAGAAAUGUACCCGAAUGCGUAUUGCACAGAAAUGUACCGUGCGAUAACAGCUGCUGCCGUUGAUCGAUGUCCGGUGACGAUAAAGCGGCGAGCAAAAUAGUAUAGCCGAGCGCACGGGACGCGUGUGUGUGUGUGUACCUCCUGCCUACCUCGCCGACACCUAUAGUUUAGUGCCCGCAAUCGGUACCUGUA